AUGCGGAAGGUCCGGGCGUUAUCCGGAUUUAUUGGGUUUAAAGGGAGCGCAGGCGGAGAUGCAAGCGUGACGUCAAAUUUCGGGGCUCAACCCCGUCUCGCGUCGCGAACUGCGUCCCUUGGUUGCGGGAAGGGGAGGCGGAACUCGUGGUGUAGCGGUGAAAUGCAUAGAUAUCACGAAGAACUCCGAUCGCGAAGGCAGCCUUCCGGCCCGUCAACGACGCUCAUGCUCGAAGGUGCGGGUAUCAAACAGGAUUAGAUACCCUGGUAGUCCGCACAGUAAACGAUGGACACCCGCGGUUUGGCCUAUAUGGCUGAGCCGCCAAGCGAAAGCGUUAAGUGUCCCACCUGGGGAGUACGCCGGCAACGGUGAAACUCAAAUGAAUUGACGGGG
This 393-nucleotide ribosomal RNA is filed under the name uncultured bacterium. Its description in RNAcentral is "partial 16S ribosomal RNA". It matches the Rfam family "Bacterial small subunit ribosomal RNA", at positions 523 to 918 of the family's 1533-position model. The record is from RNAcentral.